Equus caballus (horse) is the source of this 5355-nucleotide long non-coding RNA. The record is from Ensembl. NCBI's taxonomy places the organism in Eukaryota, Metazoa, Chordata, Mammalia, Perissodactyla, Equidae.
CCUGUGUAGGUUGUAAGUCACUACCUCAUUCUACAUUUUUUCUAUUAUACCUAAGCAGGCAGUGAAGUUUUGCGAAAAGUUACAGUGUGGACUCAGUAAUACUGUGGGGAAUUCAGGAAGGGCUUGUCUCAUGCUUCAGAAAGAGACGCACACAUUCUCCUCUUUGAGACCAGGGUGCUGGUAACCGUCUGCAGAAAGUCAUGCCCAGCUGAGCAGUGUGAUCUUACAGAAGAUGGUACAGCCUUCAAGCCUUAGUGGGCACAAGAACCCUGUGGACCUGCUCAGGAGACCACACGGCAGAACCCUGGGAACUCUCAGAAGCAGCUGGCAGAUCAGCCCUGAGCUAACUGCUGUCAAUCCUCCUCCUUUUGCUGAGGAAGACUGGCCCUGAGCUAACAUCCAUGCCCAUCUUCCUCUACUGUAUAUGUGGGACGCCUACCACAGCAUGGCUUGCCAAGCGGUGCCAUAUCUGCACAAGGGAUCCAAACCGGCGAACCCCGGGCCACUGUAGUGGAACGUGCAAACUUAACCACUGCGCCACCAGGCCGGCCCAAGAAAAUAAUUUUUUAAAGCACACUUUUGAUUUACCAUUUAGAUUUUAGCAACUGAUAUACUAAGCAGAAAUCAUUCCAUAUCAUUAAUUAUACCUGGACCAUAAAAACAACUUACUAGGAAGAUUAGCCCUGAGCUAACAUCUGCCACCAAUCCUUCUCUUUUUGCUGAGGAAGACUGGCCCUGAGCUGACAUCCGUGCCCAUCUUCCUCUACUUUAUAUGUGGGACGCCUACCACAACAUGGCUUGACAAGUAGUGAGUAGGUCCACACCUGGAAUCGGAACUGGCGAACCCCGGACCGUCGAAGCAGAAUGUGCAAACUUAACUGCUGCGCCACAGGGCUGGGCCCCACAUUCUUUUUUAAAAUUGUGAAAUAUGUCAUAUAUACAUGAGUAUACAUGUAUAAAAUGUAAACACAUAAGUUAAAGAAAAAUUAUCAAGUGAACAUUGAGUAUCUACUGUUCAGGUUACAAAAUAAAACAUUGUCAAUACUUGGAAGCUCCUGUGUGCCUUCACCUGAACAUAUCCCUUUCCUUUUCCCGAGAGGUAACAGUCAUAUUUACUUUUAUCAAAUCAUUCUCUUGCUGUGUUUUAUAUUUACACAACCUAUGUAUGCAUCCCUAAUGACAAAUUGUUUAUUUUUGUCUAUUUUUGAACUCUAUAUAAUGGAAUCAUAUUAUGUAUGUUCAGUUUUUACUUGCUUCUGUCACUCAAAAAUAAUUUGUGAGAUUCACUCAUGCUGCUAAGUGUCUAUUUUCAUUUUGUAUGGUAUUCCAUCGUUUGAAUAUAUCACAAUUUAUUUAUCCACACUACUGUAAUAGAUAUCUUAGUUAUCUCCAGUUUUUGUAUAUUAUAAACCAAAUUGCCAAGAAUGUUAUUAUACAUGAUUCUUUGUACACAUACGCAAGAAUUUUUCUAGGGCAUUUACCCAGGAGUAGAAUUCCUUGAGAGUAGAGUAUGAGUGUAAUCAACUCUACUAGGUAUUGCUAAACAAUUUUUCUAAAGAAAUUGUGCCAACUAGCACUUCUACUAAUGUUAACUAAUAGUUGGUAUUGUCAGAUUUGCUGUUUAAAUUUGCGUUUCCCUGAUUACUAAUGAAAUUGAGCAUCUUUUCUUAUUUGUAUUAGCCAUUGAGUUUCCUCAUUUGUGAAGUUCCUGUUCAAGUUAUGUACCCAUUUUUCUAGUAGGUUAUAUAUCUUUUCCUGUUGUUUUGUAGUUCUUUCUAUAUUCUGUAUAGUAGUUCUUUGUCAGUAUUUGUAUUACAAACCUUUGCCUAAUUUGUGAUUUUUUAAAUUCUCUUUAUCAUGUCUAUUAUUGAACAGAAGUUCUUAAUUUUUUUAGAAGUUCUUAAUUUUAAUGUAACCAAAUAUAUAAAUAUUUUCCUUUAUGUUUUAUGCCUUUUGCACCUUAUUUCAGAAUUUUUCCUAUAAAGAGCAUAAUACUUUUUGCAUCUUGUUUAAAAAAUUCCCCCUUAUGCAAAGAUCUUAAGGAUAUUUUCCUAUAUUUACUUAUAAAUAUUUACUUUUUUUUUACACAUUUAGGUCUUUAGUUCACCUGAAAUUGAUUUUUGUGUAUUAUGUGAGGUGGGAAGUCAAAAUUUUUUUAUCCCUGUAUGGAUAACCAGUUUUCUCAGCAUCAUUUAUUAACAUUCAUCUUUUACUCACUGAUCUAUAACGUGACCGUUGUUGUAAGGUUUCCUUAUACGUGUGGGUUAUUGGGGGCUUCCUGCUCUGACUACGGUAAUGUCUUAAUUAUCAUAGGUUUAUAAUUAGCCUGAGAUUCUAGGUUAAGUGCCCUGUACCUUGUUCUUCUUCAAAAUUGUCUUGUUUGUUGGUUUGGCUUGGUUUUUCUUCAUACAUUUUAGAAUCAGCUUUAAAAGUUUCAUGAAAUACUCUCAUUAUUUUUAAAAAUUGCUUUAAAUUUAUGGAUUAAUUUGUGGGAAAUUGACAUUUUCAGAAUAUUGAAUCUACUUAUCCAUAAACGUGGUAUAGGUCUCUGUUUAGAAAAUUACAGAUUUUUCAUAAAAAUCUUACAUAUAUUCUUAAGAUUUGUUUCUAUGUAUCUGUGUCAGAUAUCUUCAGAUAUUUUCUCUAUAUCCACUCUUCAGUCUUCACCAUUUUGUUGUCUACUCUGGGAGGCUGACCUGUAUGGACUACAUCCAUGGCCUCCUAUGAUCUCGGGUUCUAUUGGGUUCAGCUAAUAGGGUGCCCCAGCUAUAGAUCAGAGAGAAGGAGGAGAGUGAAGUCAGGGGAUUAUUGAUUCCUCCUGCUCCCACAAGGUUGCCUUAAGUUGGCUAUUUCCCUCUACUGAAGGUUACUUCUCUCAAAGUGGUAAGACUCUCUUUCCUUCUUAGUCCCUCCCUUCAUCCCUUUGGACAAAGAGUCAUAAUAAUUUCUUAUGGAGCAAAGAGUAGAAGUCCAAAAGUCCAGGUAAUGGACAAUAAGGAUUAUUUAAGGUUUGUGGCCUGGAAGAAGAAGGAAGACAUGUUUAGUAAGUAUGAGAUGGUGACAUUUUUUCAUGUGCUAUAGGAACAUCAGGAGAAAUAAAGACUGUGAAAAGCCUUUUAAAAAAAUAACCAACAUGAAAUUAUUGAGCACAAACUAUAUGCCUUGCUCUGUGAUAGGUGCUUUACAUAUUUUAUCUCACUUAAUUCCUAUGAUAAUCUUAUGAGAUAGAUUUUGUUAUCCCUAUUUCACAGGUGAGAUUUUAAAGAUGCUUUCUCAAGGUCACAGAGCUAGUUAAUAAGGAGUAGAAUAGAAUUUUAACCUAGGUCUACUUGAAUCCAAAGCCCAUUCUAUUAAUUACCUUGCUAUUCUGUCACAUUAUACCAUUAAAUUAACAAUCAGGAGAUUAUGUCCUUUUAGAGUGGAGUUUUGGUUAAGCGAUCAGGAUGCAGUUUCAGAGGAGUGAUCAGGCUGGAUCAUCUCAAGAGGUUAAGGACUGAAGUGGCAAAGAAAUAAAGAUGGCAGUGGCAUAGCAGCUAUUUGAUUAGUAGUAAAAGAUUGGAGAUGAAUAGUAUUGAUUGCUAGAAGUCCCAUAUUUCUAAAAAGUCUAUGUCACACAAAGUCUGACCUUUCUCAUCCUGAGAUAUACUCAGCUGGCCCUCUCUGAGGAGUUCCACUCUGUUAUUCCAAUAGUGAUGCCCCAGUUUGACAGGGCUUUCCCCUCCUCAUAGGUAAAAAAGAAGCUAGACAAGCUUCUUGGAGACAGAGCAUCUCAUUGAUCUCUGUAUUCCAACCACAGAGCCUGGUAUGCUUCGAACCAAACAUUGUGAUUUGGGCUGUAUGAUCUGGGUCUUGCUGCAGGGCCUGUUUAUCCUCAUUAACAUUAAUACAGUGCUGUCUUCCAGGUCACCUUGUGCCAGCAACACAGAAAAAGAUAUUAAUGUCUGCCAUUCUCCUGCCUUUCCUUCAUAACAGCUCUGCCACCUAAUACUUAAGCACAGACAGGUGCCAUUUGAUAAAACACUUAUAAGACGAUUACGGGAAAAAUCAGCUUUAACCUUAGAUCAGCAACUCUCAAAAGAGAAACCAUUGCUAUCACAGGAAGCAAAAAAAUUCUCUGAGGAUAGUAGUAAAAAUGUACAGUGAAAACUAAUACCAAGAUUGCUGGUGAACAGGUAAUGGAAUAAGUAACUAGAAGCCAUUUUCCCUCCCUACGAUAAGCAAAGAUCAAGAAGAACCUAGACCAGCCUGUCUCUGACUUAGGGUAGAGAUAAGAGACCACAGUUCAGCUUUGCUUCUCUCUUUUCAUAUAUCUUUCUUGUUUUUAUUGCAGUUUUACUUCCUUGAACUCACAUAUUUUAUCCUUUUAAAGUGUGUUUCUUAAAAAAGUCUUUACUAUAAAAGUCACAGUAAUAACAGUUUAAUAACAAUCAUUACAUUAUGGAGCACGAUAAAUGUUACUCAAAUGAUUGGGAGAAGUAAAUAUAGGGUAGAAGGGCUGUGAAGACUAUAAUAAAAGCCUGUUGGUGAAAGAUCACAUAUAUCUAACUAGCAGGAAGAGAAGAGGAUCAGCAGAAUGUGAGUCGUAUUUAUGAAAGACUAAUAAUACUAAUAAUAAUGAUUAUAAUUACAGAUGAAGCUCCUAUUUGAGAACUGAAAUAAAUAGGGAGCCAAGGAAGAUUGCUAAGUAAGGAACAAAUAUCUCAUUUAUGCUUUAAACUUUAUAAAGUGAAUUUAAAAAAUAAGAAGAGUGAUUUACCAUAGUAUGGAUGAGGAAUAGUGAUGCUAUGAACAGGAGUUCUGGCUACUCAUUUUAGUCUCCAUAAUCGGAGGGCAUGAUAAAGUAUAGUACAUGAAGAAAAUACCUUAUCUCAGUGAUGUUAGAGAGUUCUUCACAAGAUUUAGAAGCCCAAGAACUAUAAGGUAAAAGACAGUUCAGGGUGAGUUUGGAUGUCUAUGUUCUUGAAAACAUAGAGAAUGUGAGCCAUUUUUAAGUUUAGGAGAAAGAUUGCAAAUGUUAAAAAUCUCUCAUAUUUCAUUUGGCAAGUCAAUUUGAUUUUUUUCCAAAUAAGUGAAAAAUUAGAUACUUUGUAAUCUGUUUCUAUCCUAUAGCUGUUUCUUUCUCUUGAAGGUAGUCUAUUAAAUUUAGGAGAAAAGAUAUUUCUUCCUAAAUAAAGGAGAAUAAAACUUAAAAAUUAAUUCCAUCUUAUGCAAAAUAACUAUUAUUUGGUAAAAGUUUGCAACAUAUUGUAAAAGUGCAAAUAGUGAUAAGUUCUAGUUUCAUAUGUUUUAAUAAAUUUUUUCUUUAAGAUUCAUUUGGUUCAUCUAAAAUGUUACUUUAUUGGCAAUAUAAUUUUG